AUUGAACGCUGGCGGCAGGCCUAACACAUGCAAGUCGAGCGGGGUGAUGGUGCUUGCACUAUCACUUAGCGGCGGACGGGUGAGUAAUGCUUAGGAAUCUGCCUAUUAGUGGGGGACAACAUCUCGAAAGGGAUGCUAAUACCGCAUACGUCCUACGGGAGAAAGCAGGGGAUCACUUGUGACCUUGCGCUAAUAGAUGAGCCUAAGUCGGAUUAGCUAGUUGGUGGGGUAAAGGCCUACCAAGGCGACGAUCUGUAGCGGGUCUGAGAGGAUGAUCCGCCACACUGGGACUGAGACUCGGCCCAGACUCCUACGGGAGGCAGCAGUGGGGAAUAUUGGGCAAUGGGGGGAACCCUGAUCCAGCCAUGCCGCGUGUGUGAAGAAGGCCUUAUGGUUGUAAAGCACUUUAAGCGAGGAGGAGGCUCUUUUGGUUAAUACCCAAGAUGAGUGGACGUUACUCGCAGAAUAAGCACCGGCUAACUCUGUGCCAGCCGCCGCAGUAA
This 503-nucleotide ribosomal RNA is filed under the name uncultured bacterium. RNAcentral describes it as "partial 16S ribosomal RNA". It matches the Rfam family "Bacterial small subunit ribosomal RNA", at positions 30 to 523 of the family's 1533-position model. The record is from RNAcentral.